Molecule: ribosomal RNA, 393 nt
Filed under: uncultured bacterium
Lineage: Bacteria
Description: partial 16S ribosomal RNA
Rfam family: Bacterial small subunit ribosomal RNA
Source: RNAcentral
AUACGGAGGAUCCGAGCGUUAUCCGGAUUUAUUGGGUUUAAAGGGAGCGUAGGUGGAUUGUUAAGUCAGUUGUGAAAGUUUGCGGCUCAACCGUAAAAUUGCAGUUGAAACUGGCAGUCUUGAGUACAGUAGAGGUGGUCGGAAUUCGUGGGGUAGCGGUGAAAUGCUUAGAUAUCACGAAGAACUCCGAUUGCGAAGGCAGCUCACUAGACUGUUACUGACACUGAUGCUCGAAAGUGUGGGUAUCAAACAGGAUUAGAUACCCUGGUAGUCCACACAGUAAACGAUGAAUACUCGCUGUUUGCGAUAUACAGUAAGCGGCCAAGCGAAAGCAUUAAGUAUUCCACCUGGGGAGUACGCCGGCAACGGUGAAACUCAAAUGAAUUGACGGGG